AGACACUAGAGCAGGGCUGUCCAACCUGCCGCCCUCCAGAUGUUGCUGAACUACAACUCCCAUGAUUCCCUGGCUCUCUUUUUAAUUGAAAGAAUCAUGGGAGUUGUAGUUCAGCAACAUCUGGGGGGCCGAAGGUUGGACAGCCCUGCACUAGAGGCU
Pelobates cultripes (western spadefoot toad) is the source of this 159-nucleotide non-coding RNA. Lineage: Eukaryota; Metazoa; Chordata; Amphibia; Anura; Pelobatidae. The record is from the annotation of a GenBank genome assembly.